RNAcentral lists this ribosomal RNA (287 nucleotides) under uncultured bacterium. Its description in RNAcentral is "partial 16S ribosomal RNA". It matches the Rfam family "Bacterial small subunit ribosomal RNA", at positions 222 to 507 of the family's 1533-position model. The record is from RNAcentral.
AAGAUGGCUGUGCGGCUGAUUAGGUUAGUUGGCGGGGUAAAGGCCCACCAAGCCUGCGAUCAGUAACUGGUGUGAGAGCACGACCAGUCACACGGGCACUGAGACACGGGCCCGACUCCUACGGGAGGCAGCAGUAAGGAAUAUUGGUCAAUGGAGGCAACUCUGAACCAGCCAUGCCGCGUGGAGGAUGAAGGUCCUCUGGAUUGUAAACUUCUUUAUAUGGGACGAAAAGAGGCUUUCUAAGUCGUCUGACGGUACCAUAUGAAUAAGCACCGGCUAACUCCGUG